GAUGAACGCUGGCGGCGUGCCUAAUACAUGCAAGUCGAGCGAACGGACGAGAAGCUUGCUUUUCUGACGUUAGCGGCGGACGGGUGAGUAACACGUGGAUAACCUACCUAUAAGACUGGGAUAACUUCGGGAAACCGGAGCUAAUACCGGAUAAUAUUUUGAACCGCAUGGUUCAAAAGUGAAAGACGGUCUUGCUGUCACUUAUAGAUGGAUCCGCGCUGCAUUAGCUAGUUGGUAAGGUAACGGCUUACCAAGGCAACGAUGCAUAGCCGACCUGAGAGGGUGAUCGGCCACACUGGAACUGAGACACGGUCCAGACUCCUACGGGAGGCAGCAGUAGGGAAUCUUCCGCAAUGGGCGAAAGCCUGACGGAGCAACGCCGCGUGAGUGAUGAAGGUCUUCGGAUCGUAAAACUCUGUUAUUAGGGAAGAACAUAUGUGUAAGUAACUGUGCACAUCUUGACGGUACCUAAUCAGAAAGCCACGGCUAACUACGUGCCAGCAGCCGCGGUAAUACGUAGGUGGCAAGCGUUAUCCGGAAUUAUUGGGCGUAAAGCGCGCGUAGGCGGUUUUUUAAGUCUGAUGUGAAAGCCCACGGCUCAACCGUGGAGGGUCAUUGGAAACUGGAAAACUUGAGUGCAGAAGAGGAAAGUGGAAUUCCAUGUGUAGCGGUGAAAUGCGCAGAGAUAUGGAGGAACACCAGUGGCGAAGGCGACUUUCUGGUCUGUAACUGACGCUGAUGUGCGAAAGCGUGGGGAUCAAACAGGAUUAGAUACCCUGGUAGUCCACGCCGUAAACGAUGAGUGCUAAGUGUUAGGGGGUUUCCGCCCCUUAGUGCUGCAGCUAACGCAUUAAGCACUCCGCCUGGGGAGUACGACCGCAAGGUUGAAACUCAAAGGAAUUGACGGGGACCCGCACAAGCGGUGGAGCAUGUGGUUUAAUUCGAAGCAACGCGAAGAACCUUACCAAAUCUUGACAUCCUUUGACAACUCUAGAGAUAGAGCCUUCCCCUUCGGGGGACAAAGUGACAGGUGGUGCAUGGUUGUCGUCAGCUCGUGUCGUGAGAUGUUGGGUUAAGUCCCGCAACGAGCGCAACCCUUAAGCUUAGUUGCCAUCAUUAAGUUGGGCACUCUAAGUUGACUGCCGGUGACAAACCGGAGGAAGGUGGGGAUGACGUCAAAUCAUCAUGCCCCUUAUGAUUUGGGCUACACACGUGCUACAAUGGACAAUACAAAGGGCAGCGAAACCGCGAGGUCAAGCAAAUCCCAUAAAGUUGUUCUCAGUUCGGAUUGUAGUCUGCAACUCGACUACAUGAGGCUGGAAUCGCUAGUAAUCGUAGAUCAGCAUGCUACGGUGAAUACGUUCCCGGGUCU
RNAcentral lists this ribosomal RNA (1372 nucleotides) under uncultured bacterium. RNAcentral's name for it is "bacterial SSU rRNA". It matches the Rfam family "Bacterial small subunit ribosomal RNA", at positions 28 to 1381 of the family's 1533-position model. The record is from RNAcentral.